CACUCUAAGCGGUGGAUCA
Molecule: ribosomal RNA, 19 nt
Filed under: Haematobia irritans (horn fly)
Lineage: Eukaryota; Metazoa; Arthropoda; Insecta; Diptera; Muscidae
Description: partial 5.8S ribosomal RNA
Source: RNAcentral